RNAcentral lists this ribosomal RNA (436 nucleotides) under uncultured Oscillospiraceae bacterium. RNAcentral describes it as "partial 16S ribosomal RNA". It matches the Rfam family "Bacterial small subunit ribosomal RNA", at positions 341 to 791 of the family's 1533-position model. Lineage: Bacteria; Bacillati; Bacillota; Clostridia; Eubacteriales; Oscillospiraceae. The record is from RNAcentral.
ACGGGAGGCAGCAGUGGGGAAUAUUAGGCAAUGGGGGAAACCCUGACCUAGCAACGCCGCGUGAAGGAAGAAGGCUUUCGGGUUGUAAACUUCUUUUACCAGGGACGAAGGACGUGACGGUACCUGGAGAAAGAGCCACGGCUAACUACGUGCCAGCAGCCGCGGUAAUACGUAGGUGGCAAGCGUUGUCCGGAUUUACUGGGUGUAAAGGGCGUGUAGGCGGAGUAGCAAGUCAGAAGUGAAAUCUCGGGGCUCAACCCCGAAACUGCUUUUGAAACUGUUGCCCUUGAGUAUCGGAGAGGCAGGCGGAAUUCCUAGUGUAGCGGUGAAAUGCGUAGAUAUUAAGAAGAACACCGGUGGCGAAGGCGGCCUGCUGGACGACAACUGACGCUGAGGCGCGAAAGCGUGGGGAGCAAACAGGAUUAGAUACCCUGUA